UAGAGUAUGGUGUAAUUUGGUAGCACUAAGAAUUUUGAUUUCUUAAGAGUAGGUUCAAUUCCUAUGACUCUAG
RNAcentral lists this transfer RNA (73 nucleotides) under Taphozous melanopogon (black-bearded tomb bat). RNAcentral describes it as "tRNA-Gln". It matches the Rfam family "tRNA". From Rfam's summary of the family: Transfer RNA (tRNA) molecules are approximately 80 nucleotides in length. Lineage: Eukaryota; Metazoa; Chordata; Mammalia; Chiroptera; Emballonuridae. The record is from RNAcentral.